Molecule: ribosomal RNA, 824 nt
Filed under: Triticum aestivum (bread wheat)
Lineage: Eukaryota; Viridiplantae; Streptophyta; Magnoliopsida; Poales; Poaceae
Description: partial small subunit ribosomal RNA
Source: RNAcentral
GUGAAGAUUAAUUACGUCCAGUACAAGCAAACGUCCAUUAUUAUUAUUAUCACACCAUGACAGCAACCACGAAGACAUACAAGCAGUAGCAGUGAAGACGCAGCCGCCAUGACGGCGCGGCGUCGCCAUCACCGGCCGGUUCGAUCGGCUAUUCAGCUAUACUACGUACGUUCACCAGACACGCAAACAAGAAACAACAGGCUAGGGAGAGCAGAGCAGGGGAUGAAGAAGAAUUGAAGAAGCAACGUCAGCCCAUGCGUACGCCCAAGCCCAAGUGGUGGGCGUCGUCCAGCUUGGCUUUGGCUUGGCUUGGGCGGCUAGAGGGCGAGGACGAGGCCGGGGAGGGAGUUGCGGGCGCGGUCGGGGCGGCGGCUCUGCCAGACGCACUUGGACGCGGCGGCGGCGGCGAGGCGGGUGACGGUGAGGUCGGUGUUGAAGUACUCGCGGAGCUGGGUGAUCACCCCAUCGGAGCCCACGGUCCACGCGUGCACCCAGUACGCCGCCUUGGUGUCCUCGCCGGCGGCCGAGACGCCCUCGGCGAUGACGGUGGAGCCGAAGGCGUCCACGGAGCGCGGCUCGAAGCGGAAGGAGGAGGAGGAGGACGGGGAGCUGGAGCCGGUGAGGAGGCGCAUCAUGUGCUGGUGCGCGGGCGGGCCAUGGAACCACCACUCGAGGUCGGGGGCGAGGAGGGAGUGCACGGCGGCGUGGUCGCGGCCGUUGAGCGCCUCGUAGAGGCGGAGCACGAGGAAUUUGUUGCGCUGCUCCUCGGUCUCGUGCCCGCGCAGGGAGGCGGCGCCGCCCUCCAGCUGAUCCAGGUUGGCCAG